This 493-nucleotide ribosomal RNA is filed under the name uncultured bacterium. RNAcentral's name for it is "partial 16S ribosomal RNA". It matches the Rfam family "Bacterial small subunit ribosomal RNA", at positions 30 to 523 of the family's 1533-position model. The record is from RNAcentral.
AUUGAACGCUGGCGGCAUGCUUUACACAUGCAAGUCGAACGGUAACAGGUUAAGCUGACGAGUGGCGAACGGGUGAGUAAUGCAUCGGAACGUGCCCGGUCGUGGGGGAUAACGCAGCGAAAGUUGCGCUAAUACCGCAUACGAUCUGAGGAUGAAAGCGGGGGACCGUAAGGCCUCGCGCGAUCGGAGCGGCCGAUGUCAGAUUAGGUAGUUGGUGGGGUAAAGGCUCACCAAGCCAACGAUCUGUAGCUGGUCUGAGAGGACGACCAGCUACACUGGGACUGAGACACGGCCCGGACUCCUACGGGAGGCAGCAGUGGGGAAUUUUGGACAAUGGGCGAAAGCCUGAUCCAGCAAUGCCGCGUGCAGGAAGAAGGCCUUCGGGUUGUAAACUGCUUUUGUACGGAGCGAAAAGGUCUCCUCUAAUACAGGGGGCUCAUGACGGUACCGUAAGAACAAGCACCGGCUAACUACGUGCCAGCAGCCGCCGUAA